This 467-nucleotide ribosomal RNA is filed under the name uncultured bacterium. RNAcentral describes it as "partial 16S ribosomal RNA". It matches the Rfam family "Bacterial small subunit ribosomal RNA", at positions 29 to 507 of the family's 1533-position model. The record is from RNAcentral.
ACGAACGCUGGCGGCGUGCUUCACACAUGCAAGUCGAACGGAAAGGCCCUGCUUUUGUGGGGUGCUCGAGUGGCGAACGGGUGAGUAACACGUGAGUAACCUGCCCUUGACUUUGGGAUAACUUCAGGAAACUGGGGCUAAUACCGGAUAGGAGCUCCUGCUGCAUGGUGGGGGUUGGAAAGUUUCGGCGGUUGGGGAUGGACUCGCGGCUUAUCAGCUUGUUGGUGGGGUAGGGGCUUACCAAGGCUUUGACGGGUAGCCGGCCUGAGAGGGUGACCGGCCACAUUGGGACUGGGGUACGGCCCAGACUCCUACGGGGGGCAGCAGUGGGGAAUAUUGCACAAUGGGCGGAAGCCUGAUGCAGCAACGCCGCGUGCGGGAUGACGGCCUUCGGGUUGUAAACCGCUUUCGCCUGUGACGAAGCGUGAGUGACGGUAAUGGGUAAAGAAGCACCGGCUAACUACGUG